UACAGAGGGUGCGAGCGUUAAUCGGAAUUACUGGGCGUAAAGCGUGCGUAGACGGCUAUCUAAGUCGGGGGUGAAAGCCCCGGGCUCAACCUGGGAAUUGCAUUCGAGACUGAAUAGCUAGGGUACGGUAGAGGGAAGCGGAAUUUCCGGUGUAGCGGUGAAAUGCGUAGAUAUCGGAAGGAACAUCAGUGGCGAAAGCGGCUUCCUGGACCAGUACCGACGUUCAGGCACGAAAGCGUGGGGAGCAAACAGG
RNAcentral lists this ribosomal RNA (253 nucleotides) under uncultured bacterium. RNAcentral describes it as "partial 16S ribosomal RNA". It matches the Rfam family "Bacterial small subunit ribosomal RNA", at positions 524 to 776 of the family's 1533-position model. The record is from RNAcentral.